This 327-nucleotide ribosomal RNA is filed under the name Pteridomonas danica. Its description in RNAcentral is "partial Bacterial large subunit ribosomal RNA". It matches the Rfam family "Bacterial large subunit ribosomal RNA", at positions 980 to 1301 of the family's 2925-position model. Lineage: Eukaryota; Dictyochophyceae; Pedinellales. The record is from RNAcentral.
GCAGACAGACGGCGGGUGCUAAGGUCCGUCGUCAAGAGGGAAACAGCCCUGACCACCAGCUAAGGUCCCUAAGUCACAGUUAAGUGGGAAAGGAUGUGAGGAGGCCAAGACAACCAGGACGUUGGCUUAGAAGCAGCCAUCGUUUAAAGAAAGCGUAAUAGCUCACUGGUCUAAAUAAGCCGCCUUGCGCCGAAGAUGUACCGGGGCUCAAACUGUGCACCGAAGCUGUGGAAACGAUCUUUGAUCGUUUGGUAGCGGAGCGUUCCGUAGGUCUGUGAAGGGAUACCUGUGAGGGGUCCUGGAGAUAUCGGAAGUGCGAAUGCUGAC